UAAGGAAUAUUGGUCAAUGGACGCAAGUCUGAACCAGCCAUGCCGCGUGAAGGAUGAAGGUCCUCUGGAUUGUAAACUUCUUUUAUUUGGGACGAAAACGGGAUUUUUAUCUCAAUUGACGGUACCAGAGGAAUAAGCACCGGCUAACUCCGUGCCAGCAGCCGCGGUAAUACGGAGGGUGCGAGCGUUAUCCGGAUUUACUGGGUUUAAAGGGUGCGUAGGUGGGCUUAUAAGUCAGUGGUGAAGUCUCCGAGCUUAACUUGGAAACUGCCGUUGAUACUAUAGGUCUUGAAUUAUCUGGAGGUAAGCGGAAUAUGUCAUGUAGCGGUGAAAUGCUUAGAUAUGACAUAGAACACCAAUUGCGAAGGCAGCUUACUACAUAUAAAUUGACGCUGAGGCACGAAAGCGUGGGGAUCAAACA
RNAcentral lists this ribosomal RNA (421 nucleotides) under uncultured bacterium. RNAcentral describes it as "bacterial SSU rRNA". It matches the Rfam family "Bacterial small subunit ribosomal RNA", at positions 355 to 774 of the family's 1533-position model. The record is from RNAcentral.